UAAAUGUCUUUCACAUGCGCUCGCUUCUCUCUCCUUCCAUAUUCUUCGAAGAAUUAGAGAUCUCGAUCGUUGUUGUCUGAAUCGUCUGUCUACCGACAGCGGAAGAAGUUUCAAGAAUGAGACAGCCAUUUUCCCUGUUGGUUCGCUGUGAAGGUCGUGGGUAGCAAAUCUGAAGCAAUGCUAGCUGUUCAGUGGUCAUGGGUACCAAAUCUAAAGCUGUGGUAGUUGUUCGAUGGUUGUGGGUAGCAGUUCGAUGCUCACAUGUUAUCAAAUCUAUAUCAAUUUUCAGAUCUAAGCCAUUUGUAUGCAUUUUAUCUUUUCCAUCAGCUUGCUCCUAAGGGAGACUGCAAAAAAAUUUAUUCAAUUAUGGGAGCCUUCUUCUGGAACUUUAUGGAACGUCAAUAAUGCUCCAUUUGAUGGACAUUCUACCAGUGUUUGAAGAUCUGCCACAUUUCUUAAAGUACCAUUUCUUAUGAUGCUGCUACUUGAAAGUGGGAUAUGUUUCUACACUAUUGGAGCUGUAAGCCUCAAUUUUACAUCGCCCUUCUUAUGGCUUCUAACAUUCAAACUACUCAUCCUUUUAACUAAGGUUACUCGAUCUAAAAUUAAGUUAUUUGAAAUGUUUAAUUACUAUGAAUUACAUGAUGCUAAAGAUAUGUGAGGAUUGACGGACAUUUUAUCUUGUCAUGAUUAUUUAUUUUGACUUUCAACUUUGAACAUGUCUAAAGUUUGACCUAAUUAGGAGACUAUUUUAUA
Momordica charantia (bitter melon) is the source of this 756-nucleotide long non-coding RNA. RefSeq lists it as uncharacterized. Lineage: Eukaryota; Viridiplantae; Streptophyta; Magnoliopsida; Cucurbitales; Cucurbitaceae. The record is from RefSeq and is a predicted model, not a curated record.